This 850-nucleotide long non-coding RNA is filed under the name Marmota monax (woodchuck). Lineage: Eukaryota; Metazoa; Chordata; Mammalia; Rodentia; Sciuridae. The record is from RNAcentral.
ACAAAAUAGGGCUGGGGAUGUGGCUCAGUGGUUAAGUGCCUCUUGGUUCAAUCCCUGGUACCACAAAAAACAAAACAACAAUAAAAAAAUAAGUAAAUUUUAUAGUAUAUUGGAAGGAGGUGGUAAGUGCCAAGGGGAAAUAGCAGAGUAAAGAAGAGAAUAAGUUCUGGGGUUUGGGAGAAGUGUGGGAUAUAAUUUUAAAUAGGGUUAAGUUAGACUACAGGAAAAAGUACUAUUUUUGUGUGUGUGAUAAUGGGGAUCAAACCCAGGGCCUAACACAUGCUAAGCAACAUGCUAAGCAAGCAUUCUACCAUUGAACUACAUCCCUAUCCCUAAGAAAAUGGUGUUUAAAUAAAACAGUGAUUCUCAACUGAGGGCAUUUUUGCCUCUCAGGAGAUAUUUGGCAAUAUCUGAAGCCAUUUUUGGUUGAUAUCACUGGAGAAUGGUUGAGUCCUGCUAUUAGUAUCUGGUAGGUAGAGACCAGGGAUACCAUUAAGUGUCUGUACAAUGCAUGAGGAAGCCUCCUAUAGCAAAGAAUUAUCUUCCCCAAAUGUCAGUAUUGCUAAGGUUGAGAAAUCCAGGAAUAAAAAUUUAAAGAAAAUGAGCAUAUUAGCCAUGCAGAAGUCUGAUUGAAGAGCAUUCUAUGCAAAAAGAACAGAUGUUGCAAAGGAUCUAAGAUGGGACUGUAACUUUCUUGGCUUCCUGGAGGACCUGAAAGUAGGCUCAGGAAUGUUAGGAAGAACAAACUUAUAGCAGGAGAUGAGGUGAGAGUUGGCAGAGGCCAGAUCAUGCAGUGUCUCAGGGGUCAUUGGAGGAACUUUCGCUGCUCUGAAUGAAAUGAGGACCAAUU